UACGUAGGGAGCGAGCGUUGUCCGGAUUUACUGGGCGUAAAGGGCGCGUAGGCGGCUUGACAAGUCACUUGUGAAAUCUCCGGGCUUAACUCGGAACGGCCAAGUGAAACUGUCAUGCUAGAGUGCAGAAGGGGCAAUCGGAAUUCUUGGUGUAGCGGUGAAAUGCGUAGAUAUCAAGAGGAACACCUGAGGUGAAGACGGGUUGCUGGGCUGACACUGACGCUGAGGCGCGAAAGCCAGGGGAGCAAACGGG
Molecule: ribosomal RNA, 253 nt
Filed under: uncultured bacterium
Lineage: Bacteria
Description: partial 16S ribosomal RNA
Rfam family: Bacterial small subunit ribosomal RNA
Source: RNAcentral